This 484-nucleotide ribosomal RNA is filed under the name uncultured bacterium. Its description in RNAcentral is "partial 16S ribosomal RNA". The stretch from base 52 to 484 matches the Rfam family "Bacterial small subunit ribosomal RNA", at positions 35 to 507 of the family's 1533-position model. The record is from RNAcentral.
GGGGGGGGGUGGGGGGGGGGGGAGGGGGGGGGGGGGGGGGGGUGGGGGGGGGCUGGCUGCGGGGUUCAGCGGGGGGGGGGUGGGUACGGGCUAGGUGGCUGGCUGGUGGUGGGGGGUGGGGUCCGGGAACGGGCGCUAAUACCGCAUCCGUGCUGAGGGAGAGAGGGGGGGAGCUUUGGCCCCCCAGUCCUCAGCUGAGCCUGGGUCGGAUUAUCUAGUGGGUGGGGUAAAGGCCUACCAAGGCGACGAUCCGUAACUGGUCUGAGAGGAUGAUCAGUCACACUGGAACUGAGACACGGUCCAGACUCCUACGGGAGGCAGCAGUGGGGAAUAUUGGACAAUGGGCGAAAGCCUGAUCCAGCCAUGCCGCGUGUGUGAAGAAGGUCUUCGGAUUGUAAAGCACUUUAAGUUGGGAGGAAGGGCAGUAAGUUAAUACCUUGCUGUUUUGACGUUACCAACAGAAUAAGCACCGGCUAACUUCGUG